UGGGGAAUCUUGGACAAUGGGCGCAAGCCUGAUCCAGCCAUGCCGCGUGGAUGAUGAAGGCCUUAGGGUUGUAAAAUCCUUUCGUGGGGGACGAUAAUGACGGUACCCCAAGAAGAAGCUCCGGCUAACUUCGUGCCAGCAGCCGCGGUAAUACGAAGGGGGCUAGCGUUGUUCGGAUUUACUGGGCGUAAAGCGCGUGUAGGCGGGUCGUUAAGUUGGGGGUGAAAUCCCGAGGCUCAACCUCGGAACUGCCUUCAAAACUGGCGACCUGGACCUAAGUAGAGGCAAGUGGAAUUGCGAGUGUAGAGGUGAAAUUCGUAGAUAUUCGCAGGAACACCAGUGGCGAAGGCGGCUCACUGGCCCGAUACUGACGCUGAGGUGCGAAAGCGUGGGGAGCAAACAGGAUUAGAUACCCCUGUAGUCCCUGAGCGGGCUGGCAAGGCGCAU
Molecule: ribosomal RNA, 447 nt
Filed under: uncultured bacterium
Lineage: Bacteria
Description: bacterial SSU rRNA
Rfam family: Bacterial small subunit ribosomal RNA
Source: RNAcentral